ACCUGGGACCGUGGACCGGGAAGCAGUGUCUGGUCGGCGUCCAACUUCUUGGCAAGACACGAGCAAGCUCACAGAGGACCGACCAAGAGGGCGGGGGACCCUGGAAGGUUCCCAGGCACAGCUGCUGGCCGGGAGGUCCGGACUGACACAUGGAGUCCUGGAGGAGGACGACGAGAGGGCUGGCCGAGCAGCAGAGACCCACGUGGGCGAGGGUCCGCUCGCGAAGCCUGCAUAAGGUCCCCUCCCUGGGCAGGAGCCCCUGCUCAGGGCAGCAAGCAGACACCCGUGGUGAGGGGGGGGCCGAGCGGGAUACCCCUCCUCGCAGGGACGCCACACGGGGACCACAAGAGCACGUUCGAUUUCUGCCCAGAGUCUGCUGGUGGCUGAGAGGCAGCUGUGUAGACAGUGACCAGCGGAAGAAGCGGCUGUGACCACGGAUCGCAAAGAUUUGCAAAUGGGCCAAAUCCUUUAAAACCGCACCUGCAGACAGGAGUCCCCCGUCAUCUGGCCCACCGCCGGCCUGCUGCAGCGCCCAGGGUGGGGACCGCGGCCCUGGGCCCCGAACCGCGGGCUCCCCACGUGGCCCCGCCUCACUUCCUCGGCUUUGAGGGAGGGCCUGUGGGCCAUGGCUCCCAGUCCCUGAGCGGCAGCCACCGGAGGGCCCUUCCUCCCGGGGUGGACCCCCCACCAUAGCUCGCCAGGCCGGGUGUCACCGCGUCCCACGACCACCCUGUCCCCAGAGGAGCCCUCCACCGCCCGGACCCACCCGGGAAGCUCCGUCCAGAGCAAGGCUGGAGGCCACCACAGGUCCACGGCGACCCAGACGGAAGCCAUGGGGGGCGAGACCCAGAUGCGUCCCCAGCUGCUCCCACGGUUCACACUGGGGCGCGCGACACAGAGGCACUUAAGGCUCUCGUGACUUCAGACUCGUGUUCGGAGCUGCCGUCAUGUGCCAAGGGGACUCGGCCCAGGGCCUCCGAUGGAGGCAGCCAUCCGAGCAGAACCCGCCCUCCCGAGUGGGUUCCUCCGGAGACAGAGAGCCCACAAAGUGCAGGCGGGAGGGCAUCCCGUUAAUGGACGGGUCUGCGGGAAAUUCCUCUCGGCUCUGAAGCCAAGCCCCACGCCCCACAGGGCCCACACCUCCCGCUUGAGGAGCGGCCCCUCUCCGGCCUCGGGGCGGCCCUCCUGACUUUGGGCUUUGACCGUGAGCUUCUCCAGCCCAGGUGGUGCAGCUGGGAGGCCACAGCUGGGAGGCCACGGACACAGAGCAGGUGUUUGCUGAGCACGCAGAGUCUGGGCCUGUCCUGCCAGAGUCUCCGGGCUGCAGAGGGACGGCCGGCCUGCCAGGGCCGAGGGGGACAGAGCAGGGUCAGACAGGACAGAAGGUGGGUGCUCCAGGCGCGUUCAGGUUGCCCUUUGGAACGGGAGCCAUAGGGAGCCUGCCCG
This 1446-nucleotide long non-coding RNA is filed under the name Felis catus (domestic cat). RNAcentral's name for it is "lncRNA (ENSFCAG00000050831.1)". Lineage: Eukaryota; Metazoa; Chordata; Mammalia; Carnivora; Felidae. The record is from RNAcentral.